UGUGUGUCGUAGUUAACGCGUUAAACAGGGUGCCUGGGAAGUACGGCCGCAAGGCUAAAACCCAAAGGAAUUGACGGGGACCCGCACAAGCAGUGGAGCGCCUGGUUUAAUUCGAUGGUCAGCGAAGAACCUCACCUAGGCUUGAACUGUAGCUGCACGCUCCCAGAAACGGGAGAAUCCUUCGAGGGUGCUACAGAGGUGCUGCAUGGCUGUCGUCAGCUCGUGUCGUGAGAUGUAGGGUUAAGUCCCACAACGAGCGCAACCCCUAUUCAGUGUUAUAAUUACUCUGAAGACUGCCCUGUCCAAACGGGGAGGAAGGAGGGGACGACGUCCAGUCAUCAUGUCCCUUAUGUCUAGGGCUACACAGACGCUACAAUGGCCGGUACAAUGGGUUGCCAAACCGCGAGGUGGAGCCAAUCCCAUCAAAGCCGGUCCCAGUUCGGAUUGCAGUCUGCAACUCGACUGCAUGAAGUUGGAAUUGCUAGUAAUCGCGAAUCAGCACGUCGCGGUGAUACGUUCUCGGGUCUUGUACACACCGCCCGUCAGGGCACGGGAGUCGCUCUUGCUCGAAGU
This 573-nucleotide ribosomal RNA is filed under the name uncultured organism. Its description in RNAcentral is "bacterial SSU rRNA". It matches the Rfam family "Bacterial small subunit ribosomal RNA", at positions 840 to 1427 of the family's 1533-position model. The record is from RNAcentral.